UCCAGACUCCUACGGGAGGCAGCAGUCGGGAAUAUUGCGCAAUGGAGGAAACUCUGACGCAGUGACGCCGCGUAUAGGAAGAAGGUUUUCGGAUUGUAAACUAUUGUCGUUAGGGAAGAUAAAAGACUGUACCUAAGGAGGAAGCCCCGGCUAACUAUGUGCCAGCAGCCGCGGUAAUACGUAGGGGGCAAGCGUUAUCCGGAUUUACUGGGUGUAAAGGGAGCGUAGACGGUGAUGCAAGUCAGAAGUGAAAGCCCGGGGCUCAACUCCGGGACUGCUUUGGAAACUGUGUUGCUGGAGUGCUGGAGAGGCAAGCGGAAUUUCUAGUGUAGCGGUGAAAUGCGUAGAUAUUAGGAAGAACACCAGUGGCGAAGGCGGCUUGCUGGACAGUAACUGACGUUGAGGCUCGAAAGCGUGGGGAGCAAACAGGAUUAGAUACCCUGGUAC
Molecule: ribosomal RNA, 447 nt
Filed under: uncultured bacterium
Lineage: Bacteria
Description: bacterial SSU rRNA
Rfam family: Bacterial small subunit ribosomal RNA
Source: RNAcentral